Molecule: non-coding RNA, 90 nt
Organism: Callithrix jacchus (white-tufted-ear marmoset)
Lineage: Eukaryota; Metazoa; Chordata; Mammalia; Primates; Cebidae
Source: RefSeq, a predicted model, not a curated record
AUGAUUCCUCAUGAAGAGCCUGGAUCCCCUACAGAAAUCAAAUGUGACUUUCCGUUUAUCAGACUAAAACCAGACUCAGCCAGACAGUGA